RNAcentral lists this long non-coding RNA (207 nucleotides) under Elaeis guineensis (African oil palm). Its description in RNAcentral is "long non-coding RNA (EGUI_LNC013706)". Lineage: Eukaryota; Viridiplantae; Streptophyta; Magnoliopsida; Arecales; Arecaceae. The record is from RNAcentral.
GGCAUCUCAAUAUUAUCAUGUUACCCCCCGUGGCUAGGCAUCUCAAAUCCGGACAUCAACAUAGUGGAUUGAGAGACAAGUGAUACAUGUCAAUAGCUAUAAUCUGUAUAUUCCUUUUCUUUUUGAUACAGCUGUUAUACAGCUUUGAUACAACUUGAUACAACUUUGAUAUAACUAUGAUACAUGCAUUUCCAACAGGCAUUAUUC